This 246-nucleotide ribosomal RNA is filed under the name uncultured bacterium. RNAcentral describes it as "partial 16S ribosomal RNA". It matches the Rfam family "Bacterial small subunit ribosomal RNA", at positions 524 to 769 of the family's 1533-position model. The record is from RNAcentral.
UACGUAGGGUGCAAGCGUUAAUCGGAAUUACUGGGCGUAAGCGUGCGCAGGCGGUGAUGUAAGACAGGUGUGAAAUCCCCGGGCUUAACCUGGGAACUGCAUUUGUGACUGCAUCGCUGGAGUGCGGCAGAGGGGGAUGGAAUUCCGCGUGUAGCAGUGAAAUGCGUAGAUAUGCGGAGGAACACCGAUGGCGAAGGCAAUCCCCGUGGGCCUGCACUGACGCUCAUGCACGAAAGCGUGGGGAGC